GACGAACGCUGGCGGCGUGCUUAACACAUGCAAGUCGAACGGAAAGGCCCCUUCGGGGGUACUCGAGUGGCGAACGGGUGAGUAACACGUGAGUAACCUGCCCUUGACUUCGGGAUAACUUCAGGAAACUGGGGCUAAUACCGGAUAGGAAUCCUUGCUGCAUGGUGGGGGUUGGAAAGCUUCGGCGGUUUUGGAUGGACUCGCGGCUUAUCAGCUUGUUGGUGGGGUAGUGGCUUACCAAGGCUUUGACGGGUAGCCGGCCUGAGAGGGCGACCGGCCACAUUGGGACUGAGAUACGGCCCAGACUCCUACGGGAGGCAGCAGUGGGGAAGAUUGCACAAUGGGCGGAAGCCUGAUGCAGCAACGCCGCGUGCGGGAUGACGGCCUUCGGGUUGGAAACCGCUUUCAGCAGGGGCGAAGCUUGUGGUGACGGUACCUGCAGAAGAAGCACCGGCUAACUACGUG
RNAcentral lists this ribosomal RNA (465 nucleotides) under uncultured bacterium. RNAcentral's name for it is "partial 16S ribosomal RNA". It matches the Rfam family "Bacterial small subunit ribosomal RNA", at positions 28 to 507 of the family's 1533-position model. The record is from RNAcentral.